RNAcentral lists this transfer RNA (74 nucleotides) under Mediterraneibacter torques. RNAcentral describes it as "[Ruminococcus] torques tRNA-Gly(gcc)". It matches the Rfam family "tRNA". Rfam says of the family: Transfer RNA (tRNA) molecules are approximately 80 nucleotides in length. Their secondary structure includes four short double-helical elements and three loops (D, anti-codon, and T loops). RNAcentral also lists the same sequence under 4 other names. The record is from RNAcentral. Lineage: Bacteria; Bacillati; Bacillota; Clostridia; Lachnospirales; Lachnospiraceae.
GCGACAGUGGCUCAGUUGGUAGAGUACAACCUUGCCAAGGUUGGGGUCGCGGGUUCGAACCCCGUCUGUCGCUC